This 400-nucleotide ribosomal RNA is filed under the name uncultured bacterium. Its description in RNAcentral is "bacterial SSU rRNA". It matches the Rfam family "Bacterial small subunit ribosomal RNA", at positions 355 to 772 of the family's 1533-position model. The record is from RNAcentral.
UGGGGAAUAUUGGACAAUGGGCGCAAGCCUGAUCCAGCAAUGCCGCGUGAGUGAUGAAGGCCUUCGGGUCGUAAAGCUCUUUUACCAGGGAUGAUAAUGACAGUACCUGGAGAAUAAGCUCCGGCUAACUCCGUGCCAGCAGCCGCGGUAAUACGGAGGGAGCUAGCGUUGUUCGGAAUUACUGGGCGUAAAGCGCACGUAGGCGGCGACACAAGUCAGAGGUGAAAGCCCGGGGCUCAACCCCGGAACUGCCUUUGAAACUAGGUUGCUAGAAUCUUGGAGAGGUCAGUGGAAUUCCGAGUGUAGAGGUGAAAUUCGUAGAUAUUCGGAAGAACACCAGUGGCGAAGGCGACUGACUGGACAAGUAUUGACGCUGAGGUGCGAAAGCGUGGGGAGCAAA